UACGGAGGGUGCAAGCGUUACUCGGAAUCACUGGGCGUAAAGGACGCGUAGGCUGGAUAGAAAGUCAGGUGUGAAAUCCUACAGCUCAACUGUAGAACUGCACUUGAAACUUCUAACCUAGAGUAUGGGAGGGGCAGAUGGAAUUAGUGGUGUAGGGGUAAAAUCCGUAGAUAUCACUAGGAACACCCAAAGCGAAGGCGAUCUGCUGGAACAUAACUGACGCUAAGGCGUGAAAGCGUGGGGAGCAAACAGG
This 253-nucleotide ribosomal RNA is filed under the name uncultured bacterium. Its description in RNAcentral is "partial 16S ribosomal RNA". It matches the Rfam family "Bacterial small subunit ribosomal RNA", at positions 524 to 776 of the family's 1533-position model. The record is from RNAcentral.